CCGCACGGUAAACGAUGGAUGCCCGCUUUUCGGUCAUAGGNCCGUGAGGNCAAGUGAAAACAUUAAGCAUCCCACCUGGGGAGUACGCCGGCAACGGUGAAACUCAAAGGAAUUGACGGGGGNCCGCACAAGCGGAGGAACAUGUGGUUUAAUUCGAUGAUACGCGAGGAACCUUACCCGGGCUUGAAUUGCAGAUGAAGGAUCCAGAGAUGGUGACGNCCUUCGGGGCAUCUGUGAAGGUGCUGCAUGGUUGUCGUCAGCUCGUGCCGUGAGGUGUCGGCUCAAGUGCCAUAACGAGCGCAACCCCUCUCUUCAGUUGCCAUCAGGUAAAGCUGGGCACUCUGGAGACACUGCCACCGCAAGGUGUGAGGAAGGUGGGGAUGACGUCAAAUCAGCACGGCCCUUACGUCCGGGGCUACACACGUGUUACAAUGGGGGGUACAGCAAGCCGGCUGCCCGCAAGGUCAGUCCAAUCAAGAAAGCCCUCCUCAGUUCGGACUGGGGUCUGCAACCCGACCCCACGAAGCUGGAUUCGCUAGUAAUCGCGCAUCAGCCAUGGCGCGGUGAAUACGUUCCCGGGCCUUGUACACACCGCCCGUCAAGCCAUGAAAGCCGGGGGUGCCUGAAGUCCGUGACCGCAAGGAUCGGCCUAGGGCAAAACUGGUAAUUGGGGCUAAGUCGUAACAAGGUAG
RNAcentral lists this ribosomal RNA (692 nucleotides) under uncultured bacterium. RNAcentral's name for it is "bacterial SSU rRNA". It matches the Rfam family "Bacterial small subunit ribosomal RNA", at positions 795 to 1499 of the family's 1533-position model. The record is from RNAcentral.